Molecule: transfer RNA, 77 nt
Filed under: bacterium
Lineage: Bacteria
Description: tRNA-Pro
Rfam family: tRNA
About the family: Transfer RNA (tRNA) molecules are approximately 80 nucleotides in length. Their secondary structure includes four short double-helical elements and three loops (D, anti-codon, and T loops). Further hydrogen bonds mediate the characteristic L-shaped molecular structure. tRNAs have two regions of fundamental functional importance: the anti-codon, which is responsible for specific mRNA codon recognition, and the 3' end, to which the tRNAs corresponding amino acid is attached (by aminoacyl-tRNA synthetases). tRNAs cope with the degeneracy of the genetic code in two manners: having more than one tRNA (with a specific anti-codon) for a particular amino acid; and 'wobble' base-pairing, i.e. permitting non-standard base-pairing at the 3rd anti-codon position.
Source: RNAcentral
CGGGGUGUAGCUCAGUUGGCUAGAGCGUCCGGUUUGGGACCGGAAGGCCGCCGGUUCGAGUCCGGCCACCCCGACCA